GUGGCUCACUUUGGCAGCACAUACUCUAAAAUUGGAAUGAUACAGAGAUUAUUAUGGCCCCUGCACAAGAAUGACAUGCAACUCUGUGAAGCGUUCCAUAAAACA
Ursus maritimus (polar bear) is the source of this 105-nucleotide small nuclear RNA. The record is from Ensembl. Lineage: Eukaryota; Metazoa; Chordata; Mammalia; Carnivora; Ursidae.